GGGGUAGUAGUCUAGUGGUAUGACAACGCCUUCACGCGGCGUAGGUCGCAGGUUCAAUUCCUGCCUACCCCACCA
This 75-nucleotide transfer RNA is filed under the name Candidatus Heimdallarchaeum aukensis. Its description in RNAcentral is "tRNA-Val". It matches the Rfam family "tRNA". From Rfam's summary of the family: Transfer RNA (tRNA) molecules are approximately 80 nucleotides in length. Their secondary structure includes four short double-helical elements and three loops (D, anti-codon, and T loops). Further hydrogen bonds mediate the characteristic L-shaped molecular structure. tRNAs have two regions of fundamental functional importance: the anti-codon, which is responsible for specific mRNA codon recognition, and the 3' end, to which the tRNAs corresponding amino acid is attached (by aminoacyl-tRNA synthetases). tRNAs cope with the degeneracy of the genetic code in two manners: having more than one tRNA (with a specific anti-codon) for a particular amino acid; and 'wobble' base-pairing, i.e. permitting non-standard base-pairing at the 3rd anti-codon position. The record is from RNAcentral. Lineage: Archaea; Promethearchaeati; Candidatus Heimdallarchaeota; Candidatus Heimdallarchaeia (ex Rinke et al. 2021) (nom. nud.); Candidatus Heimdallarchaeales; Candidatus Heimdallarchaeaceae.